RNAcentral lists this ribosomal RNA (1028 nucleotides) under uncultured archaeon. RNAcentral's name for it is "bacterial SSU rRNA". It matches the Rfam family "Archaeal small subunit ribosomal RNA", at positions 322 to 1354 of the family's 1478-position model. The record is from RNAcentral.
CCUACGGGGUGCAGCAGGCGCGCAAACUUUACAAUGCGAGCAAUCGUGAUAAGGAAACCCUGAGUGCCUGUCGAUGCAGGCUGUUCAUAUAUCUAAAUCAUAUGUGAAGAAAGGGCAGGGCAAGACCGGUGCCAGCCGCCGCGGUAAUACCGGCUGCUCGAGUGAUGGCCACUAUUACUGGGUUUAAAGCGUCCGUAGCUUGACUGUUAGGUCCCUUGGGAAAUCUUCACGCUUAACGUGAAGGCGUCUAAGAGAUACCGGCAGUCUUGGAACUGGGAGAGGUAAACCGUACUUCGGGGGUAGGAGUGAAAUCUUGUAAUCCUCGAGGGACGACCUAUGGCGAAGGCAGUUUACCAGAACAGCUUCGACAGUGAGGGACGAAAGCUGGGGGAGCAAACGGGAUUAGAUACCCCGGUAGUCCCAGCCGUAAACAAUGUGCGUUAGGUGUGUCGGUAACCACGUGUUACUGAUGCGCCGAAGAGAAAUCGUGAAACGCACCACCUGGGAAGUACGGUCGCAAGGCUGAAACUUAAAGGAAUUGGCGGGGGAGCACCACAACAGGUGGAGCCUGCGGUUUAAUUGGAUUCAACGCCGGACAUCUCACCGGAUAAGACAGCUGAAUGAUUGUCAAUCUGAAGGUUUUACAUGACUAGCUGAGAGGAGGUGCAUGGCCGUCGUCAGUUCGUACUGUGAAGCAUCCUGUUAAGUCAGGCAACGAGCGAGACCCACGCCGACAAUUGCCAGCAGCAUCUCCGGAUGGCUGGGGACAUUGUCGGGACCGCCUCUGCUAAAGAGGAGGAAGGAAUGGGCAACGGUAGGUCAGCAUGCCCCGAAUUAUCCGGGCUACACGCGGGCUACAAUGGACGGGACAAUGGGUAACACCACCGAAAGGUGCAGUCAAUCUCCUAACCCCGUCCUUAGUUAGGAUUGCGGGUUGCAACUCACCCGCAUGAAUCUGGAAUCUGUAGUAAUCGCGUUUCACUAUAGCGCGGUGAAUACGUCCCUGCUCCUUGCACUCACCGCCCGUC